AGUCCGGUGCUCUAACCAACUGAGCUACAGA
RNAcentral lists this transfer RNA (31 nucleotides) under Renibacterium salmoninarum. Its description in RNAcentral is "partial tRNA-Ile". The record is from RNAcentral. Lineage: Bacteria; Bacillati; Actinomycetota; Actinomycetes; Micrococcales; Micrococcaceae.